GCUGGCGUGGCGGAAUUGGCAUACGCACUGGCUUCAAACACCAGGAUCACAGAUAUGUGGGUUCGAGUCCCACCGUCAGUA
Molecule: transfer RNA, 81 nt
Filed under: Blautia sp. AF17-9LB
Lineage: Bacteria; Bacillati; Bacillota; Clostridia; Lachnospirales; Lachnospiraceae
Also listed under: 1 other name
Description: tRNA-Leu
Rfam family: tRNA
About the family: Transfer RNA (tRNA) molecules are approximately 80 nucleotides in length. Their secondary structure includes four short double-helical elements and three loops (D, anti-codon, and T loops). Further hydrogen bonds mediate the characteristic L-shaped molecular structure. tRNAs have two regions of fundamental functional importance: the anti-codon, which is responsible for specific mRNA codon recognition, and the 3' end, to which the tRNAs corresponding amino acid is attached (by aminoacyl-tRNA synthetases). tRNAs cope with the degeneracy of the genetic code in two manners: having more than one tRNA (with a specific anti-codon) for a particular amino acid; and 'wobble' base-pairing, i.e. permitting non-standard base-pairing at the 3rd anti-codon position.
Source: RNAcentral